This 896-nucleotide ribosomal RNA is filed under the name uncultured archaeon. Its description in RNAcentral is "bacterial SSU rRNA". It matches the Rfam family "Archaeal small subunit ribosomal RNA", at positions 15 to 860 of the family's 1478-position model. The record is from RNAcentral.
UUCCGGACCUGACUGCUAUCGGAUUGGUACUAAGCCAUGCGAGUCAUUGUAGCAAUACAACGGACGGCUCAGUAACACGUAGUCAACCUAACUCGUGGACGUGGAUAACCUCGGGAAACUUAACCUCGGGAAACUGAGAAUAAUGCCCGAUAGAACAUUAUGCCUGGAAUGGUUUAUGUUCCAAAUGAUUUAUCGCCGUAGGAUGGGGCUGCGGCCUAUCAGUUUGUUGGUGAGGUAAUGGCCCACCAAGACUAUUACAGGUACGGGCUCUGAGAGGAGUAGCCCGGAGAUGGGUACUGAGACACGGACCCAGGCCCUAUGGGGCGCAGCAGGCGAGAAAACUUUGCAAUGUGCGAAAGCACGACAAGGUUAAUCCGAGUGGUUCCUGCUAAAGGAACCUUUUGUUAGUCCUAGAACCACUAACGAAUAAGGGGUGGGCAAGUCUGGUGUCAGCCGCCGCGGUAAAACCAGCACCUCAAGUGGUCAGGAUGAUUAUUGGGCCUAAAGCAUCCGUAGCCUGCUCUGUAAGUUUUCGGUUAAAUCUGUACGCUUAACGUACAGGCUGCCGGGAAUACUGCAAAGCUAGGGAGUGGGAGAGGUAGACGGUACUCGGUAGGAAGUGGUAAAAUGCUUUGAUCUAUCGAUGACCACCUGUGGCGAAGGCGGUCUACCANAACACGUCCGACGGUGAGGGAUGAAAGCUGGGGGAGCAAACCGGAUUAGAUACCCGGGUAGUCCCAGUUGUAAACUAUGCAAACUCAGUGAUGCAUUGGCUUGUGGUCCCAGCUGUAAACGAUGCAGACUCGGUGAUGCAUUGGCUUGUGGCCAAUGCAGUGCCGCAGGGAAGCCGUUAAGUCUGCCGCCUGGGAGGUACGUACGCAAGUAUGAAACUUAAA